RNAcentral lists this ribosomal RNA (363 nucleotides) under Triticum aestivum (bread wheat). RNAcentral describes it as "partial small subunit ribosomal RNA". The record is from RNAcentral. Lineage: Eukaryota; Viridiplantae; Streptophyta; Magnoliopsida; Poales; Poaceae.
AUGACUGUGUCAUGUGAUCAAACAACUGAAAUACCAACAAUUUUGAGUGCACCCAUUGAAUUAACUGUUGAUGCAAAAGAAUCAAUGUUUAAUCAUUUUGAUAUGACCUCUAACCUUGGUGAUGAUUCUGUGUCGAAUGACUCAUUGCAUGUUUGCUUAUCUAAGCAUGUUGUAGCAUGUAAAUUUGAUUCAAAUAAGGUUUAUUCACCAAUGUUGGGAUGGUUUAAUGAUGAACAUUGUCAAUCUUUUGAAAUAAAUAAGAGCUUCACUUAUAUGUGCAAACUGAGUUGUAAUAUUUUCAUGCCUUCUAGUUCUUGUGCUAAUUUGUUGGCUUUAGAUUUUAUGAACUAUGCAAGUUACUAA